Non-coding RNA from Desmophyllum pertusum, 76 nucleotides. Lineage: Eukaryota; Metazoa; Cnidaria; Anthozoa; Scleractinia; Caryophylliidae. The record is from the annotation of a GenBank genome assembly.
AUCUCCUGUAGCUCAGCUGUGGUAGAGCGUCCAACCGGUGUACGGAAGCUCAUAGGUUUGACUCCUGCUGGGGAUU